RNAcentral lists this long non-coding RNA (249 nucleotides) under Lathyrus oleraceus (garden pea). Its description in RNAcentral is "Pisum sativum (pea) long non-coding RNA (PSAT_LNC025693)". Lineage: Eukaryota; Viridiplantae; Streptophyta; Magnoliopsida; Fabales; Fabaceae. The record is from RNAcentral.
UACGAUGACAUGACACUAAAUCGUAUGAAUCAUCUGAGUUAUAGAUUGUUGUGGUGGCUGCGCAUGGUUGUUGGUGGUUACGGUUUGAUUCUUGAUUUUGAUUUUGGGUGUAUGGCAUGAAUGGGUUGCGAGGUUGGGUGUUUGGUUGUUGGGUGUAUAUGGUAGGGUGAUGGUGUGAGGUUGCUCGUUGGGUUUGAGUGAGUUGACAUUGUUCUUGGACGGGGAUUUGUUGUUGGACGUAUGAUGACG